Molecule: small nucleolar RNA, 126 nt
Organism: Nycticebus coucang (slow loris)
Lineage: Eukaryota; Metazoa; Chordata; Mammalia; Primates; Lorisidae
Product: small nucleolar RNA SNORA11
Exons: 1
Source: RefSeq, a predicted model, not a curated record
AGGGUAUGCUCCGAGCAGAGGCCUGAAGAAAUGUCUUCUCCAUCUAUAACACACCCUACAGGAAUCUGGGUCAUUGUGAUGGGGGCAAAAACCUGUGGCCUCCUCAUGAACAAAUUCCCUGCAUGU